This 300-nucleotide ribosomal RNA is filed under the name uncultured Alteromonadales bacterium. Its description in RNAcentral is "bacterial SSU rRNA". It matches the Rfam family "Bacterial small subunit ribosomal RNA", at positions 114 to 417 of the family's 1533-position model. The record is from RNAcentral. Lineage: Bacteria; Pseudomonadati; Pseudomonadota; Gammaproteobacteria; Alteromonadales.
CGCGUAGGAAUCUACCCAGUAGUGGGGGACAACAGUCGGAAACGGCUGCUAAUACCGCAUACGCCCUAUGGGGGAAAGCGGGGGAUCUUCGGACCUCGCGCUAUUGGAUGAGCCUGCGUCGGAUUAGCUAGUUGGUGGGGUAAAAGCCUACCAAGGCGACGAUCCGUAGCUGGUCUGAGAGGAUGAUCAGCCACACUGGAACUGAGACACGGUCCAGACUCCUACGGGAGGCAGCAGUGGGGAAUAUUGCACAAUGGGGGAAACCCUGAUGCAGCCAUGCCGCGUGUGUGAAGAAGGCCU